GGCUCUGUGGCUUUGUGGGUUAAAGUACUUGUCUGGCAAACAGGAGAUGCUGGGUGUCAUUCCCCAGCAGGGCCU
This 75-nucleotide transfer RNA is filed under the name Callithrix jacchus (white-tufted-ear marmoset). It matches the Rfam family "tRNA". From Rfam's summary of the family: Transfer RNA (tRNA) molecules are approximately 80 nucleotides in length. Their secondary structure includes four short double-helical elements and three loops (D, anti-codon, and T loops). Further hydrogen bonds mediate the characteristic L-shaped molecular structure. tRNAs have two regions of fundamental functional importance: the anti-codon, which is responsible for specific mRNA codon recognition, and the 3' end, to which the tRNAs corresponding amino acid is attached (by aminoacyl-tRNA synthetases). tRNAs cope with the degeneracy of the genetic code in two manners: having more than one tRNA (with a specific anti-codon) for a particular amino acid; and 'wobble' base-pairing, i.e. permitting non-standard base-pairing at the 3rd anti-codon position. The record is from Rfam by way of RNAcentral. Lineage: Eukaryota; Metazoa; Chordata; Mammalia; Primates; Cebidae. RNAcentral also lists the same sequence under 1 other name.